UACGGGAGGGGGCUAGCGUUGUUCGGAAUUACUGGGCGUAAAGCGCACGUAGGCGGCUUUGUAAGUUAGAGGUGAAAGCCCGGGGCUCAACUCCGGAAUUGCCUUUAAGACUGCAUCGCUAGAAUUGUGGAGAGGUAAGUGGAAUUCCGAGUGUAGAGGUGAAAUUCGUAGAUAUUCGGAAGAACACCAGUGGCGAAGGCGACUUACUGGACACAUAUUGACGCUGAGGUGCGAAAGCGUGGGGAGCAAACAGG
RNAcentral lists this ribosomal RNA (254 nucleotides) under uncultured bacterium. RNAcentral describes it as "partial 16S ribosomal RNA". It matches the Rfam family "Bacterial small subunit ribosomal RNA", at positions 524 to 776 of the family's 1533-position model. The record is from RNAcentral.